GAUGAACGCUGGCGGCGUGCCUAAUACAUGCAAGUCGAGCGAACGGACGAGAAGCUUGCUUCUCUGAUGUUAGCGGCGGACGGGUGAGUAACACGUGGAUAACCUACCUAUAAGACUGGGAUAACUUCGGGAAACCGGAGCUAAUACCGGAUAAUAUUUUGAACCGCAUGGUUCAAAAGUGAAAGACGGUCUUGCUGUCACUUAUAGAUGGAUCCGCGCUGCAUUAGCUAGUUGGUAAGGUAACGGCUUACCAAGGCAACGAUGCAUAGCCGACCUGAGAGGGUGAUCGGCCAGCCUGGAACUGAGACACGGUCCAGACUCCUACGGGAGGCAGCAGUAGGGAAUCUUCCGCAAUGGGCGAAAGCCUGACGGAGCAACGCCGCGCGAGUGAUGAAGGUCUUCGGAUCGUAAAACUCUGUUAUUAGGGAAGAACAUAUGUGUAAGUAACUGUGCACAUCUUGACGGUACCUAAUCAGAAAGCCACGGCUAACUACGUG
RNAcentral lists this ribosomal RNA (497 nucleotides) under uncultured bacterium. RNAcentral's name for it is "partial 16S ribosomal RNA". It matches the Rfam family "Bacterial small subunit ribosomal RNA", at positions 28 to 507 of the family's 1533-position model. The record is from RNAcentral.